This 249-nucleotide unclassified non-coding RNA is filed under the name uncultured Talaromyces. Its description in RNAcentral is "sequence contains ITS2". The record is from RNAcentral. Lineage: Eukaryota; Fungi; Ascomycota; Eurotiomycetes; Eurotiales; Trichocomaceae.
AACGCACAUUGCGCCCCCUGGCAUUCCGGGGGGCAUGCCUGUCCGAGCGUCAUUUCUGCCCUCCAGCCCGGCUGGGUGUUGGGUGCUGUCCCCCCGGGGACACGCCCCAAAGGCAGUGGCGGCGCCGCGUCGGGUCCUCGAGCGUAUGGGGCUCUGUCACUCGCUCGGGAAGGACUCGCCGGCACUGGUCUCCUUCAAAAAAUUUUUCCGGUUGACCUCGGAUCAGGUAGGGUUACCCGCUGAACUUAA